Molecule: long non-coding RNA, 1751 nt
Filed under: Triticum aestivum (bread wheat)
Lineage: Eukaryota; Viridiplantae; Streptophyta; Magnoliopsida; Poales; Poaceae
Description: long non-coding RNA (TAES_LNC009930)
Source: RNAcentral
GUGCUUGGUCUAGGACUAGAUGGCAGUGUGGAUGUUGUGUAUGACAAGAAGAACGUAUGGGUCGUGUGCGUCGUCAUCGACCACCCAUCAUCGAGGACAGGGCCUCAUGUGGGACCUCGGGAGGAGGGGAGAACAAGGGCGUGCACAACAUUAGAGCCGAUGAAAUUCAUGUGCAUGGACUGCGUCCGGCCUGCCGUGGCCGACCGCUCCAUCCUGCUCCUCUAAAAGUGCAUGAGCAAGGCAAUCCUGCCAUUAUUUUUGGACAUCUGCUAUCAACACAACUACUUAUUUCCCAUAUUGUAACCAGUAACAGGCUAGCGGCUAUGCUAUUUCAUUUCACAAUGUAUAUACGGAGGUACCUUUGGAGUUCAGUGUGUCCAUUACAUGCUUUGUGUGUUGAUAGGGGUCCACAUGGUGGCGGGCGGAGUUCCUUGGGCUCCAUGGAGGCAGCUGAGACCUGGUGUUGCGCUCCUCCCUUUGUCCGCCACCUCGCCAUCUCGGGCGCCGCUGUGGCGAGUGCUCUAACCAGCUCCAGAUCGCUACACUCUACAGAAUAAUUCUUCAACUUAUCAAUCUUGCUACUGGUAUUCAUCCACCACUAGGUCCUUUAUCUGGAUGUGUUAUUAGUUCUUCGCAACUCCCAAUUCCGAUCCGUUCUAGAGGGUAAGUAUUUUUUUAAAUGAAUGAACAGGAAAACUGUGUCUUAGUAAAAAAAAAUCAUGUUUCAUUUGUGUAUGCGACAUUUAAGGACAGUGCCAUCUGGAGAACUUGUUCAUUGGUGCUUUCCAUGAGGUUUAUGGUAAGAUUAUAUAUUUGUUUGUUUGUUGCGACAGAAAUUAUAGAGUUGUUUUCCCUCUAUUGUCUUUAUCUAUUCACUUUGAUACAAUACACAAUUAAAUGAUCGGGGUUUUGAAUACAUAGCAUGGGUUCCUUGUGUUGGAGGCAUUUGACACAAGCCUUUGCUGCUGUAUAGCCAAGCUGGAUUCUUUACAUUCUCAGAAUUACAUUUAUCAUUUUCCCUCUUGGAAGCUAAAAAAGAAUAGUAAAUGUAUUUUGUUCAUAGCUAGGCAUACUUUGUUCUUGGAAGGCAUAGUUUGUUAUUAAAUUCUAAACAGUUUUAUAAAUGGUGACAAAUAAAGGGUUGUUAUUAAUUUCUAGGGAUACUGAAAUUUUUGGCUUGUACUGAAUUGUUUAUGGACCUAUUAAAAUAUCCCCUUGCACUGAAAUUUGAUUUCUACUGACUUUUUUUUAAAGAUACCUAAGACUUCUUGUGCUAAAAUUACCCUGUUACUAAAAUUUGCCUUGCUACUGUUGUACUAAAAUUUAACUAUUUAGUAGGAAGGAAGAGCACAAGAGGGAGCAAAAAAGAACAAGGAGAAAGCGACGCUUAGGAGAAGUUAGCUCAAAAUCCACUUACAUGAUUCGUGGUUUUGCCUAACCACUACUUGAUUCGUGAUAGCAUUGCACCAGACACAUAACAUCCAGUUGUAUAAUUGUAUAAGUAGAGUGUACUUGAUGCCUAUUCAUCUUUAUUCAUCCUUCUGUUUUCAUCUUUGGGUCUAUUUGACUUGUUUCCUGAAUAAAUUAUGGACCCCCUUAGCUGGCAAACGGUCACUGGGAGGGUUUGGAAUUUGCGAAUGAUUUCAGUGCCAUUUUUUAGUUAGAGGGGAUGGCAGUUUCUUCAGAGCGACAGGGCGGUUUCUGUCAGAGAAGGUAAUUUCCGUUUUUAAAACUGUCAUCGUUUGAUCUCG